UUAUUGGAGAGUUUGAUCCUGGCUCAGGACGAACGCUGGCGGCGUGCCUAAUACAUGCAAGUCGAGCGAGGGUCUUCGGACCCUAGCGGCGGACGGGUGAGUAACACGUAGGCAACCUGCCUCUCAGACUGGGAUAACAUAGGGAAACUUAUGCUAAUACCGGAUAGGUUUUUGGAUCGCAUGAUCCGAAAAGAAAAGGCGGCUUCGGCUGUCACUGGGAGAUGGGCCUGCGGCGCAUUAGCUAGUUGGUGGGGUAACGG
RNAcentral lists this ribosomal RNA (260 nucleotides) under Brevibacillus brevis. Its description in RNAcentral is "partial 16S ribosomal RNA". It matches the Rfam family "Bacterial small subunit ribosomal RNA", at positions 1 to 263 of the family's 1533-position model. Lineage: Bacteria; Bacillati; Bacillota; Bacilli; Caryophanales; Paenibacillaceae. The record is from RNAcentral.